Molecule: unclassified non-coding RNA, 40 nt
Filed under: North American grapevine yellows phytoplasma
Lineage: Bacteria; Bacillati; Mycoplasmatota; Mollicutes; Acholeplasmatales; Acholeplasmataceae
Description: partial 16S-23S ribosomal RNA intergenic spacer
Source: RNAcentral
AGGAAAAAAUAAAAUUAUCAUCUUCAGUUUUGACAGACCA